CGUUCUGUCGACGGUAAGGCCCUUCGGGGUACACGAGUGGCGAACGGGUGAGUAACACGUGGGUGAUCUGCCCUGCACUUCGGGAUAAGCUUGGGAAACUGGGUCUAAUACCGGAUAGGACCACGGUCUGCAUGGAUUGUGGUGGAAAGCUUUUGCGGUGUGGGAUGGGCCCGCGGCCUAUCAGCUUGUUGGUGGGGUGAUGGCCUACCAAGGCGACGACGGGUAGCCGGCCUGAGAGGGUGUCCGGCCACACUGGGACUGAGAUACGGCCCAGACUCCUACGGGAGGCAGCAGUGGGGAAUAUUGCACAAUGGGCGCAAGCCUGAUGCAGCGACGCCGCGUGGGGGAUGACGGCCUUCGGGUUGUAAACCUCUUUCAGCAUCGACGAAGCGCAAGUGACGGUAGAUGCAGAAGAAGCACCGGCCAACUAC
Molecule: ribosomal RNA, 431 nt
Filed under: Actinomycetales bacterium
Lineage: Bacteria; Bacillati; Actinomycetota; Actinomycetes; Actinomycetales
Description: bacterial SSU rRNA
Rfam family: Bacterial small subunit ribosomal RNA
Source: RNAcentral